AGGAAGAUGUUGAGUAUCAUUGAAUUUAUUGAGUGAUCUGAACGUUUUUUGAAGAUUAAAGCUUUUAAUUAAGCUUGAUAUAAAUUUGCUGUUGUGAAGCAGCGUUUUUAAAAGGAUCGCCGUCCAUGUUUCUCUUUCUUUUCGGAUUUUUUGCGAUGAUGGGGGGUCGUUAAUAUUUGGUUUUGAGGGCCCGUAGCUCAGGUGGUUAGAGUGCACCCCUGAUAAGGGUGAGGUCGGUAGUUCAAAUCUACCUGGGCCCACCACUUUUUGUUCAGGGGGCCGUAGCUCAGUCGGUAGAGCGCCUGCUUUGCAAGCAGGAUGCCAGCGGUUCGAUUCCGCUCGGCUCCACCAUUGGCGUAAUUAUGGAAUUUUGUUCUGAUUUUUUGGAGCAAGAGUUUUUUGAAAAUUGAAUAGAAGAUAUAUUUUUUUGUAUUUUUUAUGUUGGCAUUGUAUGCGACAUAUAAGAUACCGGCGCUGUUAACCGCACGUUGAGAAUUUAUCUCAGGAAAUUGGUCUAUUGAAGAAGCAUAAGGAUAUUAUGUUUUUUUAAUUAUAAAGAGUUUGCAAAGAACUUUAUGACGAUUGACAAUGAGAGUAA
Molecule: transfer RNA, 598 nt
Filed under: Candidatus Liberibacter asiaticus
Lineage: Bacteria; Pseudomonadati; Pseudomonadota; Alphaproteobacteria; Hyphomicrobiales; Rhizobiaceae
Description: partial 16S-23S ribosomal RNA intergenic spacer
Rfam family: tRNA (bases 276-348)
Source: RNAcentral